CUUGUACUCCCUCCGUCCGAAAAUACUUGUCAUUGAAAUGGAUGUAUCUACAUGUAUUUUAGUUCUAGACACAUCCAUUUUGAUGACAAGUAAUUCCGGACGGAGGGAGUACUUG
Molecule: non-coding RNA, 115 nt
Organism: Triticum aestivum (bread wheat)
Lineage: Eukaryota; Viridiplantae; Streptophyta; Magnoliopsida; Poales; Poaceae
Source: Rfam